RNAcentral lists this non-coding RNA (45 nucleotides) under Schistosoma margrebowiei. Lineage: Eukaryota; Metazoa; Platyhelminthes; Trematoda; Strigeidida; Schistosomatidae. The record is from RNAcentral.
AUCCAACUGAUGAGUCCAAAAUAGAACGAAACACAUAUCUUCGAU